UAGAAUCAACAAGGUUCCUCAAUGUCUGAGUCAAGAGAAGCAUGUUUAAAUGAUCAGUCAUCCAACUAAUUUAAUUGCUAAACACUAAUCAAAUCAACAGGUUUGAGUCCUUACAAGAGCCUUUUCUAAAUGUAAACAGUUUAGUAGUAGAAGACUUUGGACUCUGCUUUCUCUAAAUUGUUUUAGUGACAAGUGACGUUGUGUUUACAUCUCUACCUCAUGAAUUUAUCGUUGCUUUUUAUUCCCUGUUGACUUUC
Etheostoma spectabile (orangethroat darter) is the source of this 257-nucleotide long non-coding RNA. RefSeq lists it as uncharacterized. Lineage: Eukaryota; Metazoa; Chordata; Actinopteri; Perciformes; Percidae. The record is from RefSeq and is a predicted model, not a curated record. The transcript has 3 exons.